CCUGAUGGAGCACGCCGCGUGAGUGAAGAAGGGUUUCGGCUCGUAAAGCUCUGUUGUUGAAGAAGAACACGUAUGAGAGUAACUGUUCAUACGUUGACGGUAUUUAACCAGAAAGUCACGGCUAACUACGUGCCAGCAGCCGCGGUAAUACGUAGGUGGCAAGCGUUAUCCGGAUUUAUUGGGCGUAAAGAGAGUGCAGGCGGUUUUCUAAGUCUGAUGUGAAAGCCUUCGGCUUAACCGGAGAAGUGCAUCGGAAACUGGAUAACUUGAGUGCAGAAGAGGAUAGUGGAACUCCAUGUGUAGCGGUGAAAUCC
RNAcentral lists this ribosomal RNA (314 nucleotides) under uncultured Lactobacillus sp. RNAcentral's name for it is "bacterial SSU rRNA". It matches the Rfam family "Bacterial small subunit ribosomal RNA", at positions 382 to 689 of the family's 1533-position model. Lineage: Bacteria; Bacillati; Bacillota; Bacilli; Lactobacillales; Lactobacillaceae. The record is from RNAcentral.